AGGGUUCGAUUCUGGCUCAGAACGAACGCUGGCGGCAGGCCUAACACAUGCAAGUCGAGCGCACCUUCGGGUGAGCGGCGGACGGGUUAGUAACGCGUGGGAACGUACCCUUUUCUACGGAAUAGCCUUUGGAAACGAAGAGUAAUACCGUAUACGCCCUUUGGGGGAAAGAUUUAUCGGAGAAGGAUCGGCCCGCGUUAGAUUAGGUAGUUGGUGGGGUAACGGCCUACCAAGUCUACGAUCUAUAGCUGGUUUUAGAGGAUGAUCAGCAACACUGGGACUGAGACACGGCCCAGACUCCUACGGGAGGCAGCAGUGGGGAAUCUUAGACAAUGAGCGCAAGCCUGAUCUAGCCAUGCCGCGUGAGUGAUGAAGGCCUUAGGGUCGUAAAGCUCUUUCGCCUGUGAUGAUAAUGACAGUAGCAGGUAAAGAAACCCCGGCUAACUCCGUGCCAGCCGCCGCGGUAAUAC
Molecule: ribosomal RNA, 470 nt
Filed under: uncultured bacterium
Lineage: Bacteria
Description: bacterial SSU rRNA
Rfam family: Bacterial small subunit ribosomal RNA
Source: RNAcentral